This 139-nucleotide non-coding RNA is filed under the name Fischerella sp. The record is from RNAcentral. RNAcentral also lists the same sequence under 1 other name. Lineage: Bacteria; Bacillati; Cyanobacteriota; Cyanophyceae; Nostocales; Hapalosiphonaceae.
UUAAAAUCAAAAACAUUCGGUUCUAGUGGGGAGCAGCCACUAGAGGUAACGGGGAAAGUCCGGUGUAAGUCCGGCGCUGUCCCGCAACUGUGAACUUAACAAAGUAAGUCAGGAUGCCCGCCGAAGUUGAUUUUAGUUC